RNAcentral lists this long non-coding RNA (1485 nucleotides) under Pongo abelii (Sumatran orangutan). RNAcentral's name for it is "lincRNA". Lineage: Eukaryota; Metazoa; Chordata; Mammalia; Primates; Hominidae. The record is from RNAcentral.
GUUAGUUUGGAAAGAAUAGAAGAAGGAAUAGAUGUUCACUCAGACCAGUAGUUCUCAAAUAGGUCGAGUUGUUUCCUUGAUGAAUCCCAAUGUGUCUACCGAGAUGUUCCAGUUGAAGAUCUAAUAAUUAAAGGUCUCUUUACACCAGAGCUAAGAUCACGAAUAAAGGAGCAGCUUUGGGUCUGCAGAGAUUACAUAGGAAUGUAUGUUUCUGGCAGGUCAUUUGCCAUCUUUACAAGGAGUGUACAUGGAUGUCAUCAUUACAAAGGAUGUGAGAGGAAAAAUUUAUUCAAGAAGCACUUAUUAAAAUUUAAUCCACUGAGCUGGAUCCUUAAUUUACAUACUUGUUUGUAGAUUCUGUUUCUCUUUAAGUAUUUUAUAAAAAUUCAUAUGGAAUAUUUCUUAUAAUCCCAAGUUUAUUGUUGUUGUGGUCAGCCACUAAUUACUUGAAGAAUGUAAUAUAAAAUUGUUUAUCUUUUAUGAAAUCUCUUAGUUACCUUUUGAUACAGUUUGGCUGUGUACUCACCCAAGUCUCAUCUUGAAUUGUAGCUCUCAUAAUCCCCACGUGUUGUGGGAGGGACCUGAUGGGAAGUAAUUGAAUUAUAUGGGUGGGUUUUCCUAUGUUGUUCUUGUGAUAGUGAAUAAGUCUCAUGAGAUCUGAUGGUUUUAUAAAGGGCAGUUCCCCUGCACAUACUGUCUUGCUUGCUGCCAUGUAAAUGUGCCUUUGCUCCUCCUUCACCUUCUGGGAUGAUUGUGAGGCCUCCUUAGUCAUGAGGACUGUGCCAUUAAACCUCUUUUUCUUUAUUAAUUACCCAGCCUUGGGUAUUUCUUCAUAGUAGUAUAAAAAUGGACUAAUACAGUAAAUUGGUACUGGUAGAGUGGGGUACUGCUAUUAAGAUAUCUGAAAAUAUGGAAGCAACAUUGGAAUUGGGUAACAGGCAGAGGUUGGAACAAUUUGGAGGGCUGAGAAGAAGACAGGAAGAUGUGGGAAAGUUUGGAACUUCCUAGAGACUUGUUGAAUGGCUUUCACUAUAAUGCUGAUAGUAAUAUGGACAAUAAAAUCCUGGCUAAGGUGGUCUCAGAUUGAGAUGAGGAAUUUGUUGGAAACUGGAGUAAAGGUCACUCUUGCUAUGCAAAGAGAUGUGCUGCAUUUUACCCUCACCCUAGAGAUCUGUGGAACUUUGAACUUGAGAGAAAUGAUUUAGGGUAUCUGGUACAAGAAAUUUCUAAGCAGCAAAGUGUUCAUGAAGUAACAGUGCAUAAAAGUUUGGAAAAUUUGCAGCUUGACGAUGUGGUAGAACAAAAAGCCCAUUUUCUGGGGAGAAAUUCAAGCCACUGCAGAAAUUUGCAUAAGUAAUGAGGAACCAAAGGUUAAUCUCCAAGUCAAUGGGGAAAAUGUCUCCAGGGCAUAUGGAUAUGGUUUGACUGUGUCCCAACCCAAAUCUCAUCUGCUACCUAUAAUAGAUUUGUGAGUGUCUUAUCAAC